GGGUGAUUGACAGAGGUUGCUAUGGAGACCUGGGCUUGAAAAAAAGCCUCGUUAGUUGCCAACUCUGUGUGUUGUUGUUUUACAACUGUGACCAACCGUCACAUGAGAGGGGGGACAGCUGGGGGCCGGGCAGCACAAAAGGGAAUGGCUUUUUAAUGGAGUGCCUGGCCUGCGCUUGAAGACUCAAUAAAGAGUCGCUGACUCCCCAAAGGCCAGGCAGGUCUCGAACUCACUACGCAGAUGAUGAUUGUGGACCUGUCUCCUUGUGCCUACUACAGAUGGACAACCACCAAGCAGGUUUAUGCGGUGCUGGGGAUCGAACCCAGAGCUUCAUGCAAGCUAGGCAAGUGCUCAGCCAACUGAGCCACACGCCCAGCCCUCUCCCUAAGAUUCUCAGGGAUGAACAAGAUUACCAUCUGGGGAACCUUACUUGCACACCCAAGUCCAGUGCUUGGAUUCCGCACUGGCAGAGAACCUCUGAAAAAGAAAACAGCAAAGGAGACACAGAGAUCUACAAGAAUGCAAAGAUGUCUUCCGUUUCUGUGUGUGUGUGUGUGUGUGUGUGUGUGUGUGUGUGUGUGUGUGUGUGUGUGUAUGAAACAGU
This is a long non-coding RNA of Mus musculus (house mouse), 604 nucleotides long. RefSeq annotates it as predicted gene, 42352. Lineage: Eukaryota; Metazoa; Chordata; Mammalia; Rodentia; Muridae. The transcript is spliced from 3 exons. The record is from RefSeq and is a predicted model, not a curated record.